GAGAGAGAGAGAGAGAGAGAGAAAGAGAGAGAGAGAGAGAGAGAGAGAGAGAGAGAGAGAGAGACGACGGUGCGGCAGAGCUGCGUCAGCGCUGCGGAGGAGGGAGCAGCUGGCAUCGCCCGGCAGGGCCGCCGCAGAGGACAAGGGGGUGCCAGUCAGCCUAAGGUGAAGCCAGGCCUCGCCUCUCGCCGUCUUGGACGUGGAUCUCCGCUCGGCCACGGCUUUUCGGAGCCACACAGCGCAGGCAGCUCGGAUGAAACAUCAGAAUAAACAGCAGGAGGGCAAAGAGCAAGAGUCGUGGACCUUCCUCCAGCCCAGCCCAGCCCGGAGCCCGAGCAAGCAGCAGAGGAAGAUGCUGAUGUCGCUGCCCACGCUUACGGUCCUAGUGCCCCUCAUCUCUCUGGCCGGCCUGAUCUACUCGGCCUCUGUAGAUGAGAACUUCCCCCACGGCUGCACCAGCACGACCAGUCUGUGCUUUUAUAGUCUUCUCUUGCCCAUCAUCCUGCCAGUGUGCGUGAUCCUAUACCUCUGGACCUGGACCCAGAACUAACGCACUCAGGGCCCCCGCCCCCCUCCCAAGAGUAGGGCCUGUUGUCCACAUUUAAACAAGAAAACGACCUCUUUCAUUCCACUUAAUUUUUAAUACACUGGAAUGGUCUCGUUUUCAUUCUCAUGGGGAACUAGGCUUUUCAUCCCUCUCUCAGUCAGAAAUAAGGAUUGCACCGAGGAGCUCAUUUUCAUCCUGCCUUCUUGUUCCAGAGCUGGGGGUGGGGGUGGGGAGAGGGGUCCCUACUUAUUAUUUUCCUUAAAAUAUUCUCCUGUAUCUUGAUCUGUGGAAGUGCUUGGUUUUUAAUUCUGAUAAUACUCAACUCAAAGUUAAAUACAUCACCCAAAAGGUUUUGGGUUUCUUUUUAUUUUUUAAUUUUCUUUACUAGGUUAAAGGCCUUUGUAAUGGAAGGAAAUGACAAAGAUUAAUCUUUUUGAAGAUGCUAUGCCAAAUAAUUUACUCGUUUAAAUAGUUUCAGAUAAAUUCAUUUUAACUAGUAUUCACACAAAAGCUUACAAUAAACUGGAAAUGGAUGUGUACAGGAAAAAAAAAACAGAGGGCAGAGGGGAAUUAGAGGUGACCUACACUGAAACAAUGCAGACAUGAAAUUCAAUUAAAACAGUAUGCUCCUAAAAGUAGAAACAUUCCAAAUUCGCCUCAAUGUUGAUUUCCAAAGAGCAGGAAUAUCGAACUUGUCAUUUUUCACCAUAUACUAAAAGAUUUGCCAGAGAUUAGAAUCUCCAGUAUGAACCCUAAGAAAAGUCCAGGGCUUGGGAAAGCAUUGUAGAAAGUUAUCAUUGAGAUAAGAGAAUGGGAAGACAGACAGACCUGUCAAGCUGUGCACUUCCCUUGGAGACCCGCUGAUUCCUUCCCUAGGAAGUUAGGGUUUAGAUUUCUCAUCAUUUCUGAGCUUGAUGUCAAAGAUUCUGGGUUUCCUGUGGACAUCAAAAGUAGCUGGAAUCAUGUUUUGAGCUUUAAAAUUGAGCUAUUUGCAAUACAUAUUUGUAUUUGAUUUAAUAAAUUAAUUAGGGGAAAUUGUUAUUUCUAGCAUUGCUGAUCUAGGCUCUGAAUAGCAAUGAUUGGUGCCAUAGCUUUUAGUUCAUUCUGAGUUAAAGUAAGAAGGACUCAGAGCUGGUCUCUGAAUGCCAGCCAUAGAGAAGGUAAAAUUGAUAGAGUACUGUAACAGUCAUUUGGAGAAGCAUUCAACUGGAUUAAUGCUCUUUGGCAAUAAGUUUUGUUUUGUGUUUUAUGCUCUGAGUCCACAAUAUUGUUUUAUGUUAGUGUUAUGUGGAUGCAUUUCUUGCAUUGUGAUUGGGGAAAAUCAUUAUGUAGAAGCACCAUUAGUUUGUGGGAUGAUACCCAGAGUGUGAUGCAUUUGUAUCCUUAGGAGGUUUGUUCCUCUUUUGAUCAUAAUGCUGUGAUUUUGUGAGCUAUCACUUAUUAGCAACUCCUGUCUGGAAGGCAGCAUAUUCUUCUGGUUAAAAAUGGUCUUAAAUGUAUCCUCAGUCAUCAAAAUUAACUUGCUAUCUUGGGAAGACUCAUUGUGAGAAGUUCCAUCAACUUGCCAGCCCCUCUGAAUCUUCUACUUUGGUAAGGUCAUAAAAGCUCAUCAGCUCUGUGACCAAAGAGGAGGCAGGAAGGGUUGUACAAAUUCUGCCCUGAGACUAAGGCUUACAGAGGAGCCAACUCUCCCCCCACAACACAUACACCAGGCGUGCGCGCAUGCGUACACACACACACACACACACACACACACACACACAUACACUCACAGGCAAAAUUCGGGGGGGGGGGAUUCAACAUUGGUUUGUAAUAUGUGAAUUGUCUGAGUACUGAUUAUUAUGUAAUCUAUGGAAAUUCACUGGAUAAAAUUGUGAUUUAAUUAGUAUGCAUCGCUGUUACAUUUUUGAGGGUCUUUUUGGGUUUGAAUACAUUCACUUUAUUAGUAAAAUCCCCAAAUGUAAUUGUCAAGUGAAAUGCCAAGAGAUGCUUCAAAGAAACGUAGUCUCCAUGUGUUACAGGUGGAUGUAAGUUGCUGAGGAAGUUGAGGGACUGGCCUUAUAAAAGUCAUGGUGGGGGCUUCUUGACUCAGUUUUGACACUAUGCUCUUUUCUUUCUGAGCAGGGAAGUUUCCCAGUUGUUAGAAUGUGAACCUUGAUCAGACCCUUUGCAUAAAAGCAUAGAUUUUAGAGCGGGAUUGGCUGUUCCACAAAAGUAUUUUUGAUUUUUACCUGAAAUCAAACGAAGCUUAUCCUCUUACACACAUAUCAAUCGGUGACUUUAGACUGGAUUCUGAUAGGACAGUCUUGAUAUUGUUACCACCUUAUCCCUCCUUCUGCUUUCAUAGCAAAUUUCUCUGCCCGUGGCAGAACUUCAAAGAUUCUAUGAUGGCAGCUAGGUGGUGCAGUGGAUAAAGCACUGGCCUUGGAUUCAGGAGGACCUGAGUUCAAAUCUGACCUCAGACACUUGACAUUUACUAGCUGUGUGACCCUGGGCAAGUCACUUAACCUUCAUUGCCCCACAAAAAAAAAAAAAAAAGAUUCCAUGAUGAAUCUCAUUAUUCCAAUCAUCAGACUUCUCUGACCCUAAUGUUUGUUGUGCGGCUGUUCUGACUUUGUGGCCAUUACUGCUUUCACCUUCCUGACCUACACCAUUAGCUCACUGGUUUAAUAGUUGUAUAUAUGUAUAACAUUGUGAUUUUAGAAUCCCACUUUCUUUCUGUCCAAGUGACCCUUCCCUUUUCUAUGACCUGAAGCUAAGAUAUGAGGUUACAAUAUAUUCUUCAAAGGGUGAGAAAUGAUGAAAGACAUAUAAAGGCUAGAAUUCUUAUUGGAACAGUAAACAUUACCUUGAGAAAGGCAAUAAGAUUAGACUAUUUCCCCUGAGGACUCGGAUAUGUGAUUAUUGUGAGAAUCAGGGUGCCACCUCCUGCUGAGAAAGACAUUGUGAGAACCAGGGUGAUACCCCCCUGAAAAGAAAGCAUGUGACUAGCGUCUGGAAGCUGCCUGGUGUCUGGAAGUUACAUCUAUUCAUAGACUGCCUGUAAGUCAUGUCAAUCAAUGGACCAGCCAUUUAUCUUCGAGCUGUGUGUGGGGACCACCCUUCUUCUGGUCCACAGGAAGCUUCCACUGGAAUACACGGAGAAUCGGCCUUUUUCAUUUGGGAAAUGACAUGUGGCCGGAGAAGCAAGCAGGGUAGACAGAUCUCCUAACUUUAGAACUUCACGUGUUCUUUUUGGAAGUGUGGGUAGCUAGGUAAAGGCGGCUUUCUCUCUCUUGGCUAACCCCUAAUAUACUUUAAUAAAUGCUUAAAAGCCUAAAUUGUUGCCGAAUUUAUCAGUAAACUUAGCUAGUUCUACCUUCCACACUGGGGGGGGGGGGCGGCAGAAAUGACACAUUAGACCACACAUUAAAUUUUAAACAUCACAGUGGUUUUCAAUGUUUCCCAAUAGGUAUUAAAUAUACUAAAAGAACUCAUGUUAGCUGCAAUUAUAAUAGAAACUUUAGAACUUCUGCUCUGUUGUGCCAGUGAAAACAAUGGCAAAAGGCCAAGUAAAGACAGUGGUUCUAAAAUGAUAUAUUUUAGAUUUGACUCUGGAAGUAAUAAACACAAGACUGAAAAAGGUGGAACCAGACACUGAUUCUCCUUCAGAAGGCCCAUUUGAACAGCCAAAGAUGGAUUCCAAGAGCAUUGGAUGCGUUGAAUUGUCUGUAAAUUCUUGAGUUAGACUGAGGCCUUCUUUCCUAUGAAAAAUUGCUCUAGUAGUUGUUGAGUUGUCCACUUAUGGGUUUUCCUAUCUGGUAGGCAUGCUUUACAGAUCUGGUCCUCAAAGAUCCUUUUUAAAAUGUUUCCUCCAACUUUGGAAAACACUGUUGUUGAUAUCAUCUAAAGGUCUUGGGAAAGGUAGAAAGAGUAAAUGGUAUGUGAAAACUGAAACUUAGAUGAGUUGCAGGUACCCUGAUCUAUUAUUCUCCCUACAAACUUGAUGAUUACAUGGUUAACACCAUAAAGUUUGCACCGACUUUCACCUCAUGAGCUAAUUACAGGAAGGACAAUGUGAUUGGAUUUGGUCAGACCUUACUAAAUUGUAUUAAGUCUUAUCAUGAGCAGGUUGGAGCAGCAUUACCUAGAAAACCAUCAGGAAAGGCACUGCAUGAUUAAAUCCAGAAAAAUGAAUCUGCUGGAAGAAAUACGUCUACAAAGAGGCCCCAGAAACAAGGUAGAAAGUUCCAUACCAGGAGCUGUUUAACAAUUGAUACUGCAAUUGAAAAGUUCAUGGUGUUAAUUCGUAGAUAUAUGUCUCUUAGGGCCAAGCUGAACACUUUGUGGACAGUGGUCUAAGACAGACCCUUUUGACUCAGAAUUAGCAAGGGAAAAUGUUUUCCAGAAGCAGACUAUUUUACAAAGUAGACAGCUAAACCCAAGACUCCAGAGCAAGGAUUGUAUUGUCUAAAUGGGCAUUACUAUGCAUUCUGUGUUCCUUUUUGUCCUCCUGACUAUACAAUUAUGCUUACUGCCCUUUGACUCUUAGACUUUCCUUACCCUUUUAGAAGGGUACUUAGGCGCCAGAUUUAAGACAAAAACUGGAAGUUUAAACCCAGGUCCCCCUUGUUCCAGUUCCUCACACAAUUGCUAGUAACAAUGUUUUAGUCUCUAUAUGGGAGUACCUCAGGUCCCACAGAGAUGUAUACUACUCUUGAGAUCCAGUUCCCCCCUGUAAUUGUGAGUACUUUUACUUAAUUACUUCAGAAACUUUUGGAGGAAAGACUGGGUUUGUGGAAUUAUUCCAACCAUUCUUGCUUAGAGGUUUUGCUUAAGCUUCCUUCUUAUUCUUUUCAGAUUUAUAGCAGUAUGACUGAUUGCUUCGUAUUUCCUCCUUAGCCUUGAAGAGAACAUUUUGGAUUUUGGAACAUGUGUUCCUCAUAGAUUUUGGCUUCCUCACUGCCAUAGCCCUCUUUGGACUAAGAUCCCUCUUUGGCUGCACAAACAACUGAUUUCCUAUUUUAUAGAUAUAGACCUUGAGUAGUUCAGAUUUGAUGAAACUCCUGAGGAAGGAUCCCAGGGGAGAAUUGUGGAGAACAGACCUGAGCACACUUGGAUUUGGGGAAAUAUCUGAUCCCCAAAUUGAGUAACCCCCAAGACCAAGGAAAUAGAAUUGGGGCAUCUGCACUUUCCUCCCCCUCUUACUGGCUACAUUGAAGUGAACAAGAAGGAUCCCAUUUUAAAGUAGAAGCAUCUAAGAGACGUCCCACUUACCCAGAAUGCUCUGAUAAGACGAACCGCUGAGAAAAACAUUUUCCCACAAGAACAAACUUGACCUUUAGCAACUCUGGUGACCCCAAGGCUUGCAUAUGUUCCCUUCUGUUUCAGAGUGUCUAUGUCCUCUGAGCAAGCCUAAAAUGACAAACUCACUCUGUACCUUAGGAAAGAGAAGGUGCAACUGGCCCAAUUAGUCUCUUUUUCUUUUUUGAUACUGAACCUUACAGAUGUGAUAGUGAGUAAGAUUCUCUUUGGGUUCACAAGGAACCAAUGCUGGGAAUCAUCCAGGACAUGGUGGAGAAAGGAUUCCUGAUCAGAUCUCAGUUUAGUGAACUACCUAUGAGGUUUGUUCUGGGUAAUGGUUUCUAGAAAAGGCAGAAUAGACCUUUCUAAUGAGAAACUGACAUAUUUCUCAGCUUUUUUUCACCAAAAAUAGAAAACAAGUUUGUUCCAUCAUUACACUGACAAAGAUCCCUCAGGAUGGGGCCUGGACCUGUGAUUUGGUUGUCAUGAGGAAUUUGCAGGUGAGAUAACUCUAUGAGGCAACUUCCUAUUGUGGUGCCUUCAAGACCAGCUUUCUAAUCUGGCUCUCAGUCCAACAACCAACCUUGACUAUGUGCUAGGCCCUCUCCUUACAAUCAUGUUCAAAUGAGGGAGCUGUCAAGGGCUCAUAGAAGUAUGUGCAGCAUAGGGGGCAACUAGGUGGCAUAGUGGAUAAAGCACCGGCCCUGGAUUCAGGAGGCCCUGAGUUCAAAUCCUGCCUCAGACGCCUGACACUUACUAGCUGUGUGACCCUGGGCAAGUCACUUAACCCCAAUUGCCUCAUACAUACAAAAAAAAAGAAGUAUGUGCAGCAUAAAUAGAAAUAGACCAAGUCUAUGAGCCAAGAGUGACACUUUGAGCCCUGUGGGACUCCACUCUCAUUAAUCAUCAAUGCCCAAACCAUCUGAUUGUACUAUCUUCUAGCUCACAUCCAGCCAUCUUCUCCCUUUGUAUCCCAUGCCAAAGAUGGCCAUUUCUCACCUUCUGAAUCAAUGGCCAAAGGUGGAGAGGGAAGGCAGGAGGGAGCAUGCAUUAGGGAAGUUUGCUUAACACAAUGAUUAUGGGAGGGAAGAAGGAGAGUGGAGGAAAGACAAGGGUAGGAGUUUCUUGGUGAUCUAGAAUGUGAGUAUGGAGGCAGAAUCCAGAAUGAAACACAGAUCCUAUGGUGUCUAGAGAGGGACAAGAAAGUGGGUUAGAGUCUUCUUAAGCUUGGGAGGUGUCUUGGUCCCUGGGGAAUAAGGAUCAGGAGGUCAGGUCAGUCCUUCAAAAGAUCACAGGCCAGCACAGGGACCAGAGAAAGGAUAAGUUUGGCUGGGGAAGGGUCAGCAGAGUCUGGGGUCCUGGGCCCUGGGAACUGAACAGUGACCUGACAGGGGUGGGGGCUCAGGGUCCCACAUCAUCUAGGUCAAGUCGGACUGUGAUCUGCAGAAAGAUGACCACCAGGGGGCUUCUCCUGACAUGUCUACAAUGGACCUCGCUUUCUACCCUAAGACCCUGGGCUGGGCAGUGCCCCAGCCCAAGGUCCAGAGACGGAGAGAGGCCAGCUUGAGGAACAGGAUGGAAAUUAAUGACUGCUCCAGAGACUCUUGGAGACCCAGGGGAAACCCUUGGAAGAGAUAGGUAUUCAUCUAAGGACAGUGCCUUGCGAAGCCCCCAAAUCUGUCCCUGGGGUUCUGAUUCAAUUUCUCUCUUCUCCAGUGGAUCAGAGUGUCAAAUUAGUCCCAGCUGUGUCUCUGUCCAGACCCUUGGUACAUCAGCAGCCCUUCCAAAGGACACAUCCCCAGGGGAAGAGGGUUGGUGCUUGUCUUAGACUUGGUCAGCCGUGGGAAUUCAUUUCUAUUCUUGGCUCUCAGGGUAAGGGGUAGAGGGUCCUCAUUCAGUCCUCUUCCCCCUCUCAUCAAUGAGCGAUCCCCCUGACUAACAUGGGACCAACACCCUGAGGUGCUGGCCUUUUACUCACAGAACUUCAGCAUAACCAAGUUUCAGGAAGAGAUUCAGGUCUCCCAGAAGGGAUGGGGUCACCUUGCCCAGGUGGAAUGAGGCCCACCAGGCCUGGAGAGGAGCAGAGAUAUACCUGUCACAAAAAAUACCCAGGACUGAGACAAAAUGUUGCUGUGCUCUGUGGUGAGAACUAGGGGCAGAGUGCAGGGAGAGGGAGUCAAGGCCUCUGUUGUAACCAAGGGUCAUGGUGAUGUUCAAGUGACAGUCAUAUCUCCAGCCCUUUCUAUAGCCCACACAUUCAUCAGAAUCAUGAGAAACAGAGAGCUCAGUGGGAAGUGUGGCCGAUGCUGCUCCUGCUGCUGCCACCACUGCCGCCACUGCCACCACCACCACCCUUUGGGACUGCGGUUGCUGCUAUAGAGAAAGAGAGAACUUGGGAAGGGAGUAAGGAUCCCAAGAUGGACAUGUGCAGCCUUGGAGGUGAGGUGACUGGGAAUUUGAGAGUUCUGGGAAUCCUUCUGGUCAGAGCUGAAUGGUGGCAGAAGAGGAGUCCUUGGCCACUUUAUCAGUGGUCAUGGAGAAGACAACCACCAUCAAGAGGAGUGACAUGAGCCUGCCUCGUUUCAGCAGGGGACAUGCUUGGACAGCACACAGCGUGAAAUGCCCCGGCACCCUGACAGAUUGGAAGAGCCACUCCCUCCUAGUUUAGGCAAUCAAUAUGUUGAGGGUGCAGAGCACCCCAGAAGUUCUCUGGGGCACACCAAGGAAUCUUCUCCUGGAGAAACGAAACCAGAGGACAGAUACACCUAGAGAGAUAAGCAGAACCAGAUCUGGGACCUCCACCCUUUAUUCUGAUCUCCCUUACCCCUAGGGAGAUAAUUUUGGGCGUGGCUGCAGCCUCUGCAUCCUGAAGAGAGAGAUGGCUUGAGAGAUCCAUAGCCACCCCUCACCCAACUCCUCUAGCCACCACCAGUGGGGGAUGGUCCUCCCUCACUAAAGGAACUUUCCACAGGCAGAUGGUCCACCCCCAUCAGCCCCCUAUAAAAGUAGCUGCCAGUCUCCUGAUCGAGGAGAUUGGUAUCUCAGAGCCACAUACUUUGUUCCAUACCACAUGCUUUCCCUUCCCCACCUUCCCUUCCCUU
Dromiciops gliroides (monito del monte) is the source of this 8931-nucleotide long non-coding RNA. RefSeq lists it as uncharacterized. NCBI's taxonomy places the organism in Eukaryota, Metazoa, Chordata, Mammalia, Microbiotheria, Microbiotheriidae. The record is from RefSeq and is a predicted model, not a curated record. The transcript has 4 exons.